GAUGCAAUGUCAGCUAUUUAGGACAGAAACAUCCAAGGCCGUGUUAGAACUCAGUUAGGACUACAAAUGCGUUAAAGCAGGAACUGGCAGGCCUCUGGACUACAGCAACUAUAGGACUCGUGCUUCUCGUACAUGGGGCUAUAAUUUAUGAAACUGAGCCCCAGAUCCAGCCAAUCAGUUAGCUCCUCAUAACAAGUCUAACUGGCUCUGGAAAGCUGAAAGGGCUGCACUAGAACAACAAGGAUGAGAUAUUCCACACAAUCCUCUGCUUAACCGGAAUCACUUUUCCCUGCGAGGUCAGAGAAAAAUCACAGCUUCGCUGUCAGAGGGAAGGAGUGCAGAUGACCUGGAAAAAUGUGACCAGAUCUGGAGCAAGAUCUUGUCCGGCUUGGCCGUCCCAACCGUGCCUGCAUUCAAAGACUAAGCUACCCCCAGAAAACCAAGGACAGCUACAGCAGCAAAACCUGAGAUAAUUGACUGAAUUCAACAUGAGAUUUGACACCAAGAAGAAAAACACACCAGGACACAGAGAACUGAAAAAGUCAUCCUUUGGCAAUUUCCACCCCCAAGGUUGAGUCUUUGAAAUGUCCAAUUUGUGACUAGCUAGGGAAGGAUAUUUCUCCUCAGCACAAUUUUUUUAACUUAUUAAGCCUUUAUUUAUUUGACAGUGUUGUUGCCUACAAUGACUAGGUGAGAACCAAAACUUCUAAGGAAGCCAGUUGCUGAAACUGUCGCUCCCUUUAGUCUAAUUUAACAUGGAUUAUCUAGUUCAAUGUGGGAAGCAGGCCCUGAAGUUAAUAUUGUCAUUGAAUCCUCAACAUACAGAACUCCCCGUGUCCUAUUACCUUAAUAAAAUUCCAUUAAAAACCCCAAAUUCCAUUAAAAGUCAAGUCCCAUGUCCAGAUCUCCAUUUGUCAACAGACAAGUCCAAGAAUACCCUAAAUUGAGGUCCAUAAGUCAUGUCACAUGUAUUUGUCCCAACAUCUCCCAGAGGGAGACUUCACCUCCAAAAUCUUUGAACACAACCAUCUCACCACCCAAUACAACGGCUAAUGAGCAUCUAGCAAGUCUCUCAGUUAGAAGCUUUCACAGUUUCUCUACAUUCUGUGUCAACAUACAGCUAAGUCCCAGACCCCCAUCUCCCUGACCUUGACAAACACUAAGCAUUUUGUUUGACUUGACUUCAAGGUGUUCAUCUGCUCAUAGGUAAUGUUUGCCCCCAAAACAGUCAUGGUGGGAGCUUUCUGCGCUGUCAUUGCCUCCCAGAACUUUAAUCUAAUCAACUGUGGUAGCCUCAGACAUGUUACUUGUACUUGACAAUGUUAGGGGGUUUGUUAGCCUAACAAUUAGGGGGAUUGUUGGGCUAACAAUGUUAGCCCUGUGUGAGGGCUCCUAGCUGGAGCCCUCACACAGCAGUGAAAUCCUGACACUGAAACGAAGAAAGUGCUACCUCACCAUGAUCCAGCCUGAGCUGAUCAUGUUGUUUACAUUUGUUUCUUUGCCCUAUUAACAACAAUGCCAAGAAGGAAAAUAUUACAAAAUAUACAUACCAAUAUAAUCAUCUUCUCUGGGCUCAAAGUGCCAGUGCAAUGUGUUAGAGUCUGCUUCUAGCAACCAUGCUUCUUAACACAUCAGGGUUUCUAUCAGCAGGUUCUGGGUAGGGACCCUCUCUCUUAUCAUCACCACCAAUUAGUGUUGACUAGGACAUCAGGCACUGUCUAAGAAGAUCAUGAUAUUCAAGGGUCACCCAAACAGCUGAAUUCAAGUCUUACUCAUUUCUUUGAUUACAGACAAGAAUUAAGAUGAUCCUGAUAAAAGAAAAAGAGCUCAGGAAUGCAAACCUUUUUCUGAACAAAGAGCUGUCAGCAAAUCUCAAAUAUCAAGGCAGCUACUGUUGACUGAAAAGUGUCCCUCAACCUGGGCCAAGAAUGAUUCCUACUUCCAUAAGCCAAUUUAUCUGGCACUGUGGUUUAUGUAGCCAAAAGAGUCACUUGUGAGGUAACUAUAGGAAACGCUCAGACCCACCACAUUGACACACCACUGGUGUGUCAAGCCAGUUCACACGGACAGGGUAUAAACCCACUCCAGGUACUGUGAACAGAAAGCCCUGUUCUUUUCACAGUGCUGGACUCUGCCUCAAGAUACCCUAGCUCUUGGGACCGGUUUGCUGCUUGGCAAUGGCUGAUACCUCAAAUGCUGACACUUAGAGCCAGCAUCUUAGGAUGUAAACUGAAAGAGAAAUAGCUGCUUAGAAAAGUGAUAACAAGGCUUGUCUCGCUUUAACAAAGCAAAAAAUAAAAUUUACACUUAAAUAAAAAGACAUGGGUCCUA
Neogale vison (American mink) is the source of this 2331-nucleotide long non-coding RNA. RefSeq lists it as uncharacterized. The transcript is spliced from 2 exons. The record is from RefSeq and is a predicted model, not a curated record. NCBI's taxonomy places the organism in Eukaryota, Metazoa, Chordata, Mammalia, Carnivora, Mustelidae.